Molecule: ribosomal RNA, 252 nt
Filed under: uncultured bacterium
Lineage: Bacteria
Description: partial 16S ribosomal RNA
Rfam family: Bacterial small subunit ribosomal RNA
Source: RNAcentral
UACGGGGGGGCAAGCGUUGUUCGGAAUUACUGGGCGUAAAGGGCUCGUAGGCGGCCAACUAAGUCAGACGUGAAAUCCCUCGGCUUAACCGGGGAACUGCGUCUGAUACUGGAUGGCUCGAGUUUGGGAGAGGGAUGCGGAAUUCCAGGUGUAGCGGUGAAAUGCGUAGAUAUCUGGAGGAACACCGGUGGCGAAGGCGGCAUCCUGGACCAACACUGACGCUGAUGAGCGAAAGCCAGGGGAGCAAACGGG